GUCCAAGUGGCAGUGGACCAAAGCCAUAAGCCAGCGAGGCCAAGGACAGCUGCCGGCCGAUAUCUCAUCACCAUGACGAGCAGGCCGGCUGC
This 92-nucleotide small RNA is filed under the name Shinella sp. WSC3-e. RNAcentral's name for it is "Atu_Ti1". It matches the Rfam family "Rhizobiales sRNA Atu_Ti1". The record is from RNAcentral. Lineage: Bacteria; Pseudomonadati; Pseudomonadota; Alphaproteobacteria; Hyphomicrobiales; Rhizobiaceae.